CCUACGGGAGGCAGCAGUGAGGAAUAUUGGUCAAUGGACGCAAGUCUGAACCAGCCAUGCCGCGUGCAGGAUGACAGCUCUAUGAGUUGUAAACUUCUUUUGUACGGGGGUAAACCGCCCUACGUGUAGCGUUUUGUAUGUAUCUUACGAAUAAGCAUCGGCUAACUCCGUGCCAGCAGCCGCGGUAAUACGGAGGAUCCGAGCGUUAUCCGGAUUUAUUGGGUUUAAAGGGUGCGUAGGCGGUUCCAUAAGUUAGCGGUAAAAUAUUGCGGCUCAACCCGACCGUGCCGUUGAAAAUGUUGGACUAGAGUAUACGUAGGGUACAUGGAAUGCGUGGUGUAGCGGUGAAAUGCUUAGAUAUCACGAAGAACACCGAUCGCGAAGGCAUUGUACCAGAGCAAGACUGACGCUGAGGCUCGAAAGUGCGGGUAUCAAACAGGAUUAGAUACCCCGGUAGUC
This 459-nucleotide ribosomal RNA is filed under the name uncultured bacterium. Its description in RNAcentral is "partial 16S ribosomal RNA". It matches the Rfam family "Bacterial small subunit ribosomal RNA", at positions 338 to 795 of the family's 1533-position model. The record is from RNAcentral.